GCCGCCGUAGCUCAGUUGGCAGAGCGCCGGCUUGUAUCCGGCAGUGCGCUGGUUCGAUUCCAGCCGGCGGCUCCA
Molecule: transfer RNA, 75 nt
Filed under: Desulfurellales bacterium
Lineage: Bacteria; Pseudomonadati; Campylobacterota; Desulfurellia; Desulfurellales
Description: tRNA-Thr
Rfam family: tRNA
About the family: Transfer RNA (tRNA) molecules are approximately 80 nucleotides in length. Their secondary structure includes four short double-helical elements and three loops (D, anti-codon, and T loops).
Source: RNAcentral